This 514-nucleotide ribosomal RNA is filed under the name uncultured organism. Its description in RNAcentral is "bacterial SSU rRNA". It matches the Rfam family "Bacterial small subunit ribosomal RNA", at positions 745 to 1251 of the family's 1533-position model. The record is from RNAcentral.
GCUGAGGCUCGAACGCGUGGGGAGCAAACAGCAUUAGAUACCCUGCUAGUCCACGCCGUAAACGAUGGGCACUAGAUAUCGGGGAAUUCGAUUUCUUCGGUGUCGCAGAUAACGCGGUAAGUGCCCCGCCUCGGGAGUACGCCCGCAAGGCUGACACUCAAAGGAAUUGUCGGGGGCCCGCACAAGCGGUGGAGCAUGCGCUUUAAUUCGAUGCAACGCGGAGAACCUUACCUGCGGUUUGACAUGGGAAUGAAAGUUCCCAGAGAUGGGAAGCGUUCCUUCGGGAACACUCCACACAGGUACAGCAUGGUGGUCGUCAGCUCUUGUCGUGAGAUGCUGGGUUAAGUCCCGCAACGAGCGCUACCCUAGCCAUUAGGUGCCAUCAGGUUAUGGUGGGAACUCUAAGGGGACCGCCUGGAACAACCAGGAGCGAAGGUGGGGAUGAUGUCUAAUAAUCAUGGCUCGUACGUCCAGGGUUAGACGCGUGCUACAAUGGUCGGUACAGAAGGAUGCC